This 72-nucleotide transfer RNA is filed under the name Camelus bactrianus (Bactrian camel). It matches the Rfam family "tRNA". Rfam says of the family: Transfer RNA (tRNA) molecules are approximately 80 nucleotides in length. Their secondary structure includes four short double-helical elements and three loops (D, anti-codon, and T loops). Lineage: Eukaryota; Metazoa; Chordata; Mammalia; Artiodactyla; Camelidae. The record is from Rfam by way of RNAcentral. RNAcentral also lists the same sequence under 2 other names.
GAGGGUAUAGCUCAGUGGUAGAGCACAUGCUUACCAUGUAUGAGGCCCUGGGUUCAAUUCCCAGUACUUCCU